CCUACGGGUGGCAGCAGUCGAGAAUCAUUCACAAUGGGGGAAACCCUGAUGGUGCGACGCCGCGUGGGGGAAUGAAGGUCUUCGGAUUGUAAACCCCUGUCAUGUGGGAGCAAAUUAAAAAGAUAGUACCACAAGAGGAAGAGACGGCUAACUCUGUGCCAGCAGCCGCGGUAAUACAGAGGUCUCAAGCGUUGUUCGGAAUCACUGGGCGUAAGGCGUGCGUAGGCUGUUGCGUAAGUCGUGUGUGAAAGGCGCGGGCUCAACCCGCGGACGGCACAUGAUACUGCGAGACUAGAGUAAUGGAGGGGGAACCGGAAUUCUCGGUGUAGCAGUGAAAUGCGUAGAUAUCGAGAGGAACACUCGUGGCGAAGGCGGGUUCCUGGACAUUAACUGACGCUGAGGCACGAAGGCCAGGGGAGCGAAAGGGAUUAGAUACCCCAGUAGUC
Molecule: ribosomal RNA, 446 nt
Filed under: uncultured bacterium
Lineage: Bacteria
Description: partial 16S ribosomal RNA
Rfam family: Bacterial small subunit ribosomal RNA
Source: RNAcentral